This 1257-nucleotide long non-coding RNA is filed under the name Buteo japonicus. RNAcentral's name for it is "lncRNA (ENSBJAG00000014591.1)". The record is from RNAcentral. Lineage: Eukaryota; Metazoa; Chordata; Aves; Accipitriformes; Accipitridae.
CUCUUUAACUGCUCCUUGACACUAAGUUUAGCCAGCUUGUUCCAUGAAUACCUAAAAAUUAAUAUAAUGGAAGUAAUUCAGCAUUAUCCAGUGUAGGAACCAAUGUUUUCCUGUCUUUACAUAAUUUUCUUGUGCUUGAUGAUGCUUUUUGCUUGUACAAUGAACUUUUGUGUUUAUUUUUAAAAUUUUCAAAAGUCAUUCUGCUUUUGUAUUCACAGAGGAGGUGGUGGCGGAGGAGGAGGAGGAUGGAGAGCUGUUCAAGACAGGGAUCAGUUUUACAGGAGGAGAUCACCAUCCCCCUAUUACAGCCGAGGGGGCUACAGAUCUCGAUCCAGAUCUCGAUCCUAUUCACCUCGUCGCUAUUAAAGCAUGACAUGUAGAGGAAUUUCUAGCUACAGCCUUUGAGUUGAAAUUGCAAGUUUGUGGACAAUAUUUUUAUUGUCUCUUCUGUUUAAACAAGUGAACAGUGCCUAGUGAAUAGGUGACUUUUACACCUUUUAUGAAGACUACUUCUGUGAUGUUAAAUGCUGUUUCAUUCUGCAUAUUUGUGUAGUUUGGUGCUUUGUUUCAAGUUGUGUUUUGAAAGGAGUAUGUUUUGCAUGUAUUUUUUUAGUCUCAAUUUUGACUCCUGAAAGGUUUCUAUUGUAAAGACAAACUGUUCAGUUAGUUUUUUCUACUGAUUCCAAGGUAUUCUGAAGAUCAAAACCUGUGUAAAAUGCUUUCAAAAAGUGAAAAAUAAAAUAAAAAGAAGUUUGUUUUUUCUUUUCCUACUUACUUUUGCCAAGUGUAAGUUACAGGUUGAAAAGAGACUACAACACUUAUGCUAUGUAUUCUGGAAUAAUGUUUAAAGCCCAGAAGUAAAAUUGACCCUAAUUUUGUGUUGUUGGGUAGCUGUUCUCUAAAUGCAAUACCUUCAAAGUACAUAAACCCAGUGUGUAGGGAAGUCCCUGUGCAAAUUGUGCGGCAGCAGGAGCAUGGAGCAAGACUUGUAAUAAACUCUUGGUAAUACUGUUGAGCUUUGAGAUGGGUAAGCUGUUAGCAGAUUAUCACCUAUAACAUGUAGGCCUUUAAAUAAGGAGAAGGCUUCAGUGGAUGUAGGUAACCAUACACUUGGAGAAGGCAAUGAAAUAACACUUAGACUACUUUGAUUUUUCUUAUUUCUUCACUGAUGAUUGUCCUUCUUUUAAAGAGUACAUCUUUAUCCCCAUGUGCAGCUAAAAUGCAAUAAAACUCCCAAAUGAUGCUUUCCUACCAGUG